UCAGGCACUGCCCCGUCCCUCCUGCCCCAUACACCAUCCCGCCCUUCAUCUUCUGAGGUACCGCCCUGCCCCUCCCGCCUCAGGGACCACUCUUCGCGCCUCAGGGACCGCCCCUCCCUCCUCAGAGACCGCCCUUCCCGCCUCAGGGAAGCCCGCCCGGUGAAGCUCGGGUGUGGGGAAGAGCAGGUUGCCAGUCCUGUCAAACCGUGUCGGUCUUGUCCUGUGAGCUGUACUCGGACUUGUGUGGGAGUAAACAUCCACGAGUUAAUCCUGAUACGGUUUAUUGGUGAGCAGGUCAUGCCCUGAAAGAAACCAAGAGAUCAUGUGGGAAAUCCUGUCGUGAAGAAGUCUGGGAAAACUGAAGUUGUUUUAAGAUACACUCCUCUCCUUGAAGGAGAAUCUCAUGGAUGCUGCUACCAUGCAAUCUGUUCAACAUGAGGAUUCAACAUUGGAAGAUUACUUAGAAAUUUCCAAUUUCUGAACUUAGAGGAUAGACUUGUAGAUCAUUCAGCUGAACUGCACCGGUUACUUAGCUAACACAAGCCACAAAGCUUCAGUUCACUGGGAUCUGACCUACUCUGAAUAACAUGUUUUGAUCCAGCAUAAGCUAAGACAACUUGAAUAAGGCCAGAGGCUUUUCAAGGCAUCCAGAAGCAGCCCACAGGAAUUUUGAGAGUGGAGCUGAAUGAAGCCAUGGAGAUGAGUCAGAAUUUCAUGAACCUUCUGGAUGGGUGUGAGGAGCGAAAGCCAGGUUGCUGUUAACUAUAUCUUAAGGAAACAUCUCUAAGUGAAUUGCAUUUUCUGAAGUCUGACUAAGGACAAAGCAUCAUCUUACUGGGAACUUGUUUAACCUGCCAAAAACCCUUCUGCACUCUGACUGCAAACCGCUCUGCAGUCCAGGCUUGUCAUGCAAACGCCGCACGACUUCAGG
Molecule: long non-coding RNA, 931 nt
Organism: Neopelma chrysocephalum (saffron-crested tyrant-manakin)
Lineage: Eukaryota; Metazoa; Chordata; Aves; Passeriformes; Pipridae
Exons: 8
Source: RefSeq, a predicted model, not a curated record